Molecule: ribosomal RNA, 250 nt
Filed under: uncultured bacterium
Lineage: Bacteria
Description: partial 16S ribosomal RNA
Rfam family: Bacterial small subunit ribosomal RNA
Source: RNAcentral
GCAAGUCGAACGGUAACGUGAGAGCUUGCUCUUGAUGACGAGUGGCGCACGGGUGCGUAACGCGUAUGCAACCUGCCCUUAACUGGAGGAUAGCCCAGAGAAAUUUGGAUUAAUACCCCAUAAUAAAUUGGAUUCGCAUGUUUUCAGUUUUAAAGUUUCGAUGGUUAAGGAUGGGCAUGCGUAACAUUAGCUUGUUGGUGAGGUAACGGCUCACCAAGGCAACGAUGGUAGGGGGCCUGAGAGGAUGAUC